GAUAUACGGUCACCGCGAGUUUCUCUGCCGCCGUCCAAGCUGCCACCAGAAGGAUCCACCACAGCCUCCUCUGUUCUUGUUUUCGAAUCAGAACUGCCCUUUUCCACUUUUAAUCUCAAUUCUGCUAUUUCUGAAUAUUUCUGCUAAGGUAAGUCUGAGAAAUUAAAAUUGGUGCUGCUGCCACCGUUUCGGUCACAUUGGAAUCACUGCUGCUGCCAUAAAACAAAAAGGGAAGGGAGUUACUAUGUUUAACCUUUGUGAAUUCAGCUAGUUGAGGUAGGGGCGUCUUUCUUAAACUUGUUUUUCUUUCCAGAGUUGUUAUAAAUUGAUAUUAAUGCGUGAAAUACAUUUUUGUGAUUUCGUAAGUCUUAUGAAUUGGAUUGAGUUGUUUUGGAUGAACGAGAUUAUUAGUUUGAUCGA
Non-coding RNA from Arachis ipaensis, 420 nucleotides. The record is from RefSeq and is a predicted model, not a curated record. Lineage: Eukaryota; Viridiplantae; Streptophyta; Magnoliopsida; Fabales; Fabaceae.